ACCCAUUUUGUUGGACGAUGAAAUGGAAUAGCCCCUAA
Molecule: ribosomal RNA, 38 nt
Filed under: Escherichia coli 7-233-03_S4_C1
Lineage: Bacteria; Pseudomonadati; Pseudomonadota; Gammaproteobacteria; Enterobacterales; Enterobacteriaceae
Description: partial 16S ribosomal RNA
Source: RNAcentral